Molecule: RNA transcript, 4335 nt
Organism: Oreochromis aureus
Lineage: Eukaryota; Metazoa; Chordata; Actinopteri; Cichliformes; Cichlidae
Exons: 5
Source: RefSeq, a predicted model, not a curated record
AUGUGUGAUUGGAUAAUGGCAGGUCAUCCUGAAACAAUCAGAAUCAGAAUACUUUAUUAAUCCAUAAGGAAAUUAUGUGGGUUACAGUUGUUCCAAGAAUAAAUUGACUUCUUUUAAUUGGUUGUUUCACUGCGCUCCACCCAGUGCCCAGAGCAGGUGUAAUGAGGUCUUUUACACGGUGAUGGAUUGACUUUUCAUCUGAAUCAUCACUGACUGAAAUUAAGAUCUUAAUGGUCAAUAAAUCAUUAAAAACAGUGAAAAUGUUUAUUAAUACUGACACUGGAAUAACGUAACCAUCAACUGUUCCGUCCCGCCCUCUUCCAUCAGUACUGUUUACAGUCAUACAUGCUGUAGAUGUGUGACUGUCACAUUCAUCAUUAUUAGACAGGUCUAAAAGUAAAGUCAGAAAAUAAUCCUUUCUUUUUUUUAAUUUAGUGACUCAACAGCUGCAGUCAUCAGUGCCAUGCUGCUAUCCUGGAAGUCAGUCUCAUUUUGGAUUUCAAAGUAAAAACAAUUUAAUAGCAAAGUAUAAGUAAAGACCUGGAUCUUUUUCUCCCUCACAAGAAAUUUAUUUUAAGCAUGUGAUAGUACAAUCCUGUACAUGUUUUGGUUUCUGUCACGACGGCAUCUGUUCCUUUAUGUUAUUGAUAUGUUAUGUCUUAAUUUGCAUUGCUUUUGACCUCUUGGGGCCACCAUAGAAAGCUCUAUAUGAGCUUUUUAGAUUAUCUAUUUACUUUUUUAUUAAAAACAAAAAACGAUUUUCUCCCUCCAGGGCCAGUUUAGGAUCACGUUUAAUCAACUUCAAUACAUGUCUUUGGACUGUUUGAGGAAACCCUGCAAAACAACCCGGUUACAAUUAUCAGCCCCUUCCUCCAGAGGAUGUUUUGAUGGCAAGCCCUCAUUUGUGAAGUCCAUCAGUAUGUUUCUGCCUGUUCAGUCUGCGCCCAGACCAAGUCAUUGAGCUCACCACCUGCUGGUUUACUGUUCCACACACCUGUGAUCCUACAUCAUGGUAGAUUUCCUCACUAGCCUCCAGAAUCUCCGGUGACAUUCCCUUGGACUGAGGACCCCAGUUCACUUCUCGUGACUGACUAAUGGUCUAACCAAGAGGACCAACCAGGAAUUGGACGCCACCCUCAUCGUGUGUUCUAAUCAAACCAUCAACUUGGGGCUUGCACCUGGCCUGUGCCAAACACCUCCAACAUUUGAUGACCUUCUCUGCGACUGGAUUAUUCCUGUUUGAGGCUUUACUGGAGUAUCAUUUUUUCCAGGCCAUCAAAGAAAGUUGUCUGUUCUUUCUGUCCAGCAUCACCUUUGACAUUGCCACCAAGGUGGACCUGCAUAAAACUAUGGAGCAGAACAAGCUUACAGUCAUUGGAUCUUGGCCCUCAUCUACACUCCAGGUCAGAAAGUUACUUCCAAAAGUAUCGCAUUGAGGACCAAAUCCCUCAAAACGACUCACAAUUACAUUGGGCCAUUUGGGUUUAAGCCUCUCAUCAACCCAUCACUGUCCAUCUUAAGCUCUCCAGAAAUGUGACAGUUCACAAUAUGUUCCAAAAUUAGCUGAGCUUUCUCCCUGACCCCAGUAUUUGUCUCUAAAUUCAGGUAUUCAUCUAGAAAGUCCUGCAAAUUCAACCUCAAUCUCUAACCACUGUAUUGCUGUGUUUGCAAUAAUUCACCAGCACUGAAGAAUAUUUAGUAGGUGAAUCAUUUCUUUGCAAUGUGUCCUUUGUAUUGAGGCUAAUUCUGCUAACUUUUAUGUGGUUUUCAUUAAUCUAGAAAUUACAGAUCAGAGUGUUAGCACAUUUCUCCAAUAUUGCAUUUCAUACUUCUCUUACACAACUUCUCUAAUAUCGUGGAUCAUGCUUGGUAGAUGGAAAAAAGCUUUUCCUUAAUAAAAUUGGAACUCUACAAGUGAAAAAUUGAGGAAGAUUAAAAUCCGAAGACUGGGAAGAUAAUUGGACUUUAGAUUUAGAUUUUGUUUCUUCAGAUUUGAACAUCUCAAAAGCAGCAUAAAUAGUAAGAGUUUUGCAUUUCUGAAGCAGGGAAGAGAAGAUGUGUCUCAGGUCCAGUACCAAAGAAAUAUGGUAAGAAGAAAUAUAUAUGGUCACAAAACUGACAUUAUUAACAGAUGAAUUUAUUUUGUACUAACCCAAGCGUCUACCUGACACUUUGAGCCACACAUUAUGUGCAUGCCUGCACGUGUGUGUAUGUGUAUCUUUGCAUUUUUUUCCUCCAGUUGGUACUGUAUUGUUUAGGAUGAUGGGAGGGGUGGGGUUUCUCCCUAAAUCCACCAUCAUUUCCAGUUGGUUCUGACUGCACCAGUGGACUAGCUGGUCCACGUCCUGUCAGCACAGCACAGAUCAGUGGGAAGAAGCUGUAGAAACUGGAAGUUGCCCUUUGACUAUUUUACCCUCUCUGAUCUUUUUCCUCUUACAGACCAGAAAAAUAUCUCAGCCACUGUUGGGGAGAGUGUCACUCUGCCAUGUAGAGCUCCAGAUAACUCCAUCAGAGCUAUAGUGUGGAGCAGGCCUGACCUGGAGCCAAAAUAUAUCCUUUUGUACCGUGACAAGCAAAUUGAUCCAGAAGAGCAGCAUCCAUAUUUUAAGGACCGGGUGGAUCUGCAGGACAGACAGAUGAAGGAUGGAGACGUGUCUCUGAUGAUGAAGAAUGUGAUGAUUUUUGACAGUGGAACAUACGAAUGUCAAGUUUUUAUGAAAGGACCAAACCAGAGAAAGAGAACUGCUGACUACAUCACCAUCAUCAACCUGACUGUUGUUCCAGUUUGUUCCAGAUCACCAGCAUCCAUCUUUUAAGAACCGGGUGGAUCUGCAGGACAGACAGAUGAAGGAUGGAGACGUGUCUCUGAUUCUGAAGAAUGUGACGACUGAGGAUAGUGGAACAUACGAGUGCAGUGUUAAGAUAAAGACAAAUUGCAGGAAGAGAGCAAAUCUGGAUAAUGACGUCAUCAGCAGCAUCACCCUGAGUGUUGUUGAUCCUCCAGGUCAGCCAGGAGGAGACACAGAGGAUGGAUCUGUUGGACUGAAAGUUGGUCUGUCGGUUUUUGGAAUCCUUGUUUUAGUUGUUGGUGUUGUUGUGGGUUUUGUGAUCUUCAAAAACACUAAAGAACAAAAAAAAUGAGGCUUCAUCCUAAUAGGCUUCUGGUGAACCAGAGCGUAUUUAUCUAACUGCUCUCCUGCUGCUAUUACUUCUCUGUACUGUCACUUAAUAGGGGAUCAGUCAGAGAAAGACAGACUGGCUUAUUGAAUGCAUUAGACCAGGGGUGUUCAACUCCAGUCCUUAAGAGCUACCCUCCUGCAGCUUUUAGAUGCAUUCUUGUUCCGACACACCUGAAUUAAAUGAAUGGCUUGUUAUCAGGUCUUUGCCAAAUUUGAUGGCAUGCUGAAGAGGUAAUGCAAGCAUUUAAUUCAGCUGUGUUGGAGUAGGGAUGCAUCUAAAAGCUGCAGGACAGUAGCUCUCGAGGACUUGAGUUGGACACCCCUGCAUUAUGCCAUAAAAUUGUCUUUGUGAAGCUCACUGUUAUUUAUUUAUUUAUUUAUUUAUUUAUUUAUUUAAACUGGAAAUUUUGUUUGACAACAAAAUGUAAUCAUACUAGAAGAGCACGAUAGAAUAUCCAAACACAGAGUGCAGAAUAUUAAACUGGGGUAGAUGCUUGAAGCUUACUAUGUUGAUCAUUUGUGCUCAGAUCAUGUUGUGAUAUAAAUGGAGCUUUUAAAAUUAUAACGCACUAUUAGAGAGCUAAAGUAUCUGUUAGUGAAAUCGUAUGUGACAGUCCAGUGUUUGAAAAUAUUUAUUAUAAAAACUUUGGAUGAAAAUUUGUGAGUGACAGUGUUGGCAGCAGGUGAUCAUGUCUGUGCAUGUAGACCUUUAAAUAAUGGAUUGGAUUUAUAUGGCGCUUUUCACCCAAAGCACUUCACAAUGCCACUAUUCAUUCACUCUCACAUUCACACACUGUUGUCAACACCAGAAUGUUAAAGCAAACCCUGAAGUUAAUGGGGAGUUUGUACAACUCAUAUAACAUUAAAAAAUAUUAAGUUAAAACACUUAGAGAGUCUGGAUGAACACUUCUAAUGUGCCAUGGCCUCCAUCAUGAAUAAGGAAGAAAAUUUCCGCCCAUGGAUAUUUCUUUGAGCACAUGUAAUCUAAAAUAUUCAUCCUCACUUACAAAACCACUUCACACUUUCACAACACCUGUGAGAUUAUUAUAUUAUCUUAUGCCACGUUAUACCACUAAUUAAAGAUUGUGAAAUUAUUAUGUAGUUUUAGUUUGCAUUAUUCUCCUGACUUAGAAGAAGGUGAUAACUAUUACAUUUA